UGGUGAAGUCAAUGGGAGGAUUGAUGACUUGUCAGUUGGACCGACUUGUUUCUAGUCCACCCUGAUCUGACUUGGUGAAGUUAGUGGGAGGAUUUAGAUUAGUUGGUCUAUGUAUCUAACUUUCGAAAAUGAUCUGAGGUCAUAAAAUUUGAGAUGGAGUCUAUGGAGAUCAAUGGUAUAUGGGCACUAGUUGAUAUGUCUGAAGGGAUAAAACC
This 215-nucleotide long non-coding RNA is filed under the name Elaeis guineensis (African oil palm). Its description in RNAcentral is "long non-coding RNA (EGUI_LNC036347)". The record is from RNAcentral. Lineage: Eukaryota; Viridiplantae; Streptophyta; Magnoliopsida; Arecales; Arecaceae.